This 431-nucleotide ribosomal RNA is filed under the name uncultured bacterium. RNAcentral describes it as "partial 16S ribosomal RNA". It matches the Rfam family "Bacterial small subunit ribosomal RNA", at positions 29 to 507 of the family's 1533-position model. The record is from RNAcentral.
AACGAACGCUGGCGGCAGGCUUAACACAUGCAGGUCGAGCGCCCCGCAAGGGGAGCGGCAGACGGGUGAGUAACGCGUGGGAACGUACCUUUUGGUUCGGAACAACUCCGGGAAACUGGAGCUAAUACCGGAUAAGCCCUAACGGGGAAAGAUUUAUCGCCGAAAGAUCGGCCCGCGUCUGAUUAGCUGGUUGGUGAGGUAACGUCUCACCAAGGCGACGAUCAGUAGCUGGUCUGAGAGGAUGAUGAGCCACACUGGGACUGAGACACGGCCCAGACUCCUACGCGAGGCAGCAGAGGGGAGUAUUGGACACUGGGCGCAAGCCUGAUCCAGCCAUGCCGCGUGAGUGAUGAAGGCCUUAGGGUUGUAAAGCUCUUUUGUCCGGGAAGAUAAUGACGGUACCGGAAGAAGAAGCCCCGGCUAACUUCGUG